AUGCUUAUCUUUGCAGCAAAUAUACUAAAACUGGAAUCUACAGAGAGAAUUAGCAUGCCCUCUUGUGGCAAGGAUGAACUGCAAAUAUCCGUGAAUGUUCAUAAUUUUUU
This 110-nucleotide small nuclear RNA is filed under the name Pan troglodytes (chimpanzee). The record is from RNAcentral. Lineage: Eukaryota; Metazoa; Chordata; Mammalia; Primates; Hominidae.